GAUGAACGCUGGCGGCGUGCUUAACACAUGCAAGUCGAACGGGAAACCUUUUAUUGAAGCUUCGGCAGAUUUAGCUGGUUUCUAGUGGCGGACGGGUGAGUAACGCGUGGGUAACCUGCCUUAUACAGGGGGAUAACAACCAGAAAUGGUUGCUAAUACCGCAUAAGCGCACAGGACCGCAUGGUCCGGUGUGAAAAACUCCGGUGGUAUAAGAUGGACCCGCGUUGGAUUAGCUAGUUGGCAGGGUAACGGCCUACCAAGGCGACGAUCCAUAGCCGGCCUGGGGGGGUGAAAGGGCACAUUGGGACUGAGACACGGCCCCGACCCCUACGGGAGGCAGCAGUGGGGAAUAUUGCACAAUGGGGGAAACCCUGAUGCAGCGACGCCGCGUGAAGGAAGAAGUAUCUCGGUAUGUAAACUUCUAUCAGCAGGGAAGAUAGUGACGGUACCUGACUAAGAAGCCCCGGCUAACUACGUG
RNAcentral lists this ribosomal RNA (478 nucleotides) under uncultured bacterium. RNAcentral describes it as "partial 16S ribosomal RNA". It matches the Rfam family "Bacterial small subunit ribosomal RNA", at positions 28 to 507 of the family's 1533-position model. The record is from RNAcentral.